UGGUGGAGCGAUUUGUCUGGUUAAUUCCGAUAACGAACGAGACUCUGGCCUGCUAACUAGCCGCCGGAUCCGAGCGAGUCCGGCACGCUUCUGGCUUCUUAGAGGGACAGGCGGCGUCCAGCCGCACGAGAUUGAGCAAUAACA
This 144-nucleotide ribosomal RNA is filed under the name uncultured eukaryote. RNAcentral describes it as "partial 18S ribosomal RNA". It matches the Rfam family "Eukaryotic small subunit ribosomal RNA", at positions 1299 to 1458 of the family's 1831-position model. The record is from RNAcentral.